AGUGAACGCUGGCGGUAGGCCUUACACAUGCAAGUCGAACGGCAGCACAGGAGAGCUUGCUCUCUGGGUGGCGAGUGGCGGACGGGUGAGGAAUACAUCGGAAUCUACUCUGUCGUGGGGGAUAACGUAGGGAAACUUACGCUAAUACCGCAUACGACCUACGGGUGAAAGCAGGGGAUCUUCGGACCUUGCGCGAUUGAAUGAGCCGAUGUCGGAUUAGCUGGUUGGCGGGGUAAAGGCCCACCAAGGCGACGAUCCGUAGCUGGUCUGAGAGGAUGAUCAGCCACACUGGAACUGAGACACGGUCCAGACUCCUACGGGAGGCAGCAGUGGGGAAUAUUGGACAAUGGGCGCAAGCCUGAUCCAGCCAUACCGCGUGGGUGAAGAAGGCCUUCGGGUUGUAAAGCCCUUUUGUUGGGAAAGAAAUCCAGCCGGCUAAUACCCGGUUGGGAUGACGGUACCCAAAGAAUAAGCACCGGCUAACUUCGUGCCAGCCGCCGCGGUAA
This 506-nucleotide ribosomal RNA is filed under the name uncultured bacterium. RNAcentral's name for it is "partial 16S ribosomal RNA". It matches the Rfam family "Bacterial small subunit ribosomal RNA", at positions 29 to 523 of the family's 1533-position model. The record is from RNAcentral.